This 774-nucleotide ribosomal RNA is filed under the name uncultured Neocallimastigales. RNAcentral's name for it is "partial large subunit ribosomal RNA". It matches the Rfam family "Eukaryotic large subunit ribosomal RNA", at positions 22 to 631 of the family's 3401-position model. Lineage: Eukaryota; Fungi; Neocallimastigomycota; Neocallimastigomycetes; Neocallimastigales. The record is from RNAcentral.
GUACACGCUGUGACUAGCAUAUCAAUAAGCGGAGGAAAAGAAACUAACAAGGAUUCCCCUAGUAACGGCGAGUGAAGCGGGAAGAGCUCAAAUUUGAAAUCUUAAAGAGUUUCCCUUUACGAAUUGUAGUUUAAAGAAGUGUUUUCUGUUGAGGUUUUGGUAAAAGUUCUUUGGAAUAGGACAUCAUAGAGGGUGAGAAUCCCGUAUUUGACCUUUACUUUCAACUUUGUGAUACACUUUCAAAGAGUCGGAUUGUUGGGAAUGCAGUCCAAAAUGGGUGGUAAAUUUCAUCUAAAGCUAAAUAUUGGCGAGAGACCGAUAGCGAACAAGUACCGUGAGGGAAAGAUGAAAAGAACUUUGAAAAGAGAGUUAAACAGUACGUGAAAUUGUCAAAAGGGAAGCGUUUGACACCAGUGUUGUUUUUCUGAAAAUCAAUUAAAGAACUGUUUAUGCUAAGUUGUUUAGACUUUAUCAGCUAACUGUUUAGUUUUGAGCUUUUCUUUAAUGCACUUUUCAGUUAACAAGUCAACAUCAAUUUCUUUUGCUGUAAAAAAGCUUGAGGGAGGUGGCUUGAGAUUCGUCUUAAGUGUUUAUAGCCUCUUGCCUAUGCAGUCGGAGAGAUUGAGGUCUGCAGCGUAGAUCCUUCGGGGCUAAAUGCAUUUGUGCUAAGUUAUAGCAUUUUAUAGACAACUUGUUGACUAUGGAUUUGUCUUGUAGCUUACUCGCUUAUGUUAUUUUACCUACGCUUAGGAUGUUGAUAUGCAUGACUGAUAU